RNAcentral lists this ribosomal RNA (1355 nucleotides) under uncultured bacterium. RNAcentral describes it as "bacterial SSU rRNA". It matches the Rfam family "Bacterial small subunit ribosomal RNA", at positions 28 to 1381 of the family's 1533-position model. The record is from RNAcentral.
ACUGAACGCUGGCGGCAGGCUUAACACAUGCAAGUCGAACGAUGAUUAUCUAGCUUGCUAGAUAUGAUUAGUGGCGGACGGGUGAGUAACAUUUAGGAAUCUGCCUAGUAGUGGGGGAUAGCUCGGGGAAACUCGAAUUAAUACCGCAUACGACCUACGGGUGAAAGGGGGCGCAAGCUCUUGCUAUUAGAUGAGCCUAAAUCAGAUUAGCUAGUUGGUGGGGUAAAGGCCCACCAAGGCGACGAUCUGUAACUGGUCUGAGAGGAUGAUCAGUCACACCGGAACUGAGACACGGUCCGGACUCCUACGGGAGGCAGCAGUGGGGAAUAUUGGACAAUGGGGGCAACCCUGAUCCAGCCAUGCCGCGUGUGUGAAGAAGGCCUUUUGGUUGUAAAGCACUUUAAGCAGGGAGGAGAGGCUAAUGGUUAAUACCCAUUAGAUUAGACGUUACCUGCAGAAUAAGCACCGGCUAACUCUGUGCCAGCAGCCGCGGUAAUACAGAGGGUGCGAGCGUUAAUCGGAAUUACUGGGCGUAAAGCGAGUGUAGGUGGCUCAUUAAGUCACAUGUGAAAUCCCCGGGCUUAACCUGGGAACUGCAUGUGAUACUGGUGGUGCUAGAAUAUGUGAGAGGGAAGUAGAAUUCCAGGUGUAGCGGUGAAAUGCGUAGAGAUCUGGAGGAAUACCGAUGGCGAAGGCAGCUUCCUGGCAUAAUAUUGACACUGAGAUUCGAAAGCGUGGGUAGCAAACAGGAUUAGAUACCCUGGUAGUCCACGCCGUAAACGAUGUCUACUAGCCGUUGGGGUCCUUGAGACUUUAGUGGCGCAGUUAACGCGAUAAGUAGACCGCCUGGGGAGUACGGCCGCAAGGUUAAAACUCAAAUGAAUUGACGGGGGCCCGCACAAGCGGUGGAGCAUGUGGUUUAAUUCGAUGCAACGCGAAGAACCUUACCUGGUCUUGACAUAGUGAGAAUCCUGUAGAGAUGCGGGAGUGCCUUCGGGAAUUCACAUACAGGUGCUGCAUGGCUGUCGUCAGCUCGUGUCGUGAGAUGUUGGGUUAAGUCCCGCAACGAGCGCAACCCUUUUCCUUAUUUGCCAGCGGGUUAAGCCGGGAACUUUAAGGAUACUGCCAGUGACAAACUGGAGGAAGGCGGGGACGACGUCAAGUCAUCAUGGCCCUUACGACCAGGGCUACACACGUGCUACAAUGGUAGGUACAGAGGGUUGCUACACAGCGAUGUGAUGCUAAUCUCAAAAAGCCUAUCGUAGUCCGGAUUGGAGUCUGCAACUCGACUCCAUGAAGUCGGAAUCGCUAGUAAUCGCGGAUCAGAAUGCUGCGGUGAAUACGUUCCCGGGCCU